UCUUCAGAAGAUGAUCCCAAUCCUUGGGGCGGUUUCUUUAAAAGCCCUCCCUUAGGCUUUCAGCAAGAAAAGGGGCUUUAAGGAAAAAGAGCUUUAAAAAAGAUUUUCCGUAAGAUAAUGCCGGGGAAGGUUUUCCGGUUUAUCCCGGAGGGGCUUGUAGCUCAGUUGGUUAGAGCGCGCGCUUGAUAAGCGUGAGGUCGGAGGUUCAAGUCCUCCCAGGCCCACCAUUUUGUAUCAAUCUAUAAGCGCUUGUAGAACUUUUUUCUAUAAGGCUUUCUCUUAUAAUUAUAUGAAGAUUAUAUACGAAGAAGUUUCCUUAUCAAAAUAAGAAGUUUCUUUCCUUUGCUUAAGCAAUCGGGAGAAAAAGCGGUUCAAACAAACA
Molecule: unclassified non-coding RNA, 382 nt
Filed under: uncultured Bartonella sp.
Lineage: Bacteria; Pseudomonadati; Pseudomonadota; Alphaproteobacteria; Hyphomicrobiales; Bartonellaceae
Description: partial 16S-23S ribosomal RNA intergenic spacer
Rfam family: tRNA (bases 151-224)
Source: RNAcentral